UUAGAACGCUGGCGGCAUGACCUUACACAUGCAAGUCGAACGGUAGAGUAGCAAUACUUGAGAGUGGCGAACGGGUGAGUAAUAUAUCGGAACGUGCCCAGUCGUGGGGGAUAACGUAGCGAAAGCUACGCUAAUACGCAUACGAUCUACGGAUGAAAGCGGGGGAUCGCAAGACCUCGCGCGAUUGGAGCGGCCGAUAUCAGAUUAGGUAGUUGGUGAGGUAAAGGCUCACCAAGCCGACGAUCUGUAGCUGGUCUGAGAGGACGACCAGCCACACUGGGACUGAGACACGGCCCAGACUCCUACGGGAGGCAGCAGUGGGGAAUUUUGGACAAUGGGCGCAAGCCUGAUCCAGCAAUGCCGCGUGCAGGAUGAAGGCCUUCGGGUUGUAAACUGCUUUUGUACGGAACGAAACGGUGAGCUCUAAUACAGUUUGCUAAUGACGGUACCGUAAGAAUAAGCACCGGCUAACUACGUG
This 478-nucleotide ribosomal RNA is filed under the name uncultured bacterium. Its description in RNAcentral is "bacterial SSU rRNA". It matches the Rfam family "Bacterial small subunit ribosomal RNA", at positions 31 to 507 of the family's 1533-position model. The record is from RNAcentral.